UUUCCGUAGGUGAACCUGCGGAAGGAUCAUUAUUGUAUAACCGAGGUGCGAGGGCUGUCGCUGACCCGAAAGGUCGUGCACGCCCGAGUGCCCUCACACACAUCCAUCUCACCCCUAUGUGCACCACCGCGUGGGUCCCCCUUUGGCUUGUUCGGAGGGGGGCUUACGUUUUCACACAAACUUUGUAUGCAGUGUAGAAUGUAUUUUUUGUUUUUGCGAUCACGCAAUCAAUACAACUUUCAACAACGGAUCUCUUGGCUCUCGCAUCAAUUAAUAAC
Molecule: unclassified non-coding RNA, 278 nt
Filed under: plant metagenome
Description: partial contains small subunit ribosomal RNA, internal transcribed spacer 1, and 5.8S ribosomal RNA
Source: RNAcentral